Morchella snyderi is the source of this 129-nucleotide non-coding RNA. NCBI's taxonomy places the organism in Eukaryota, Fungi, Ascomycota, Pezizomycetes, Pezizales, Morchellaceae. The record is from the annotation of a GenBank genome assembly.
UUCCCUGUGGCGCAAUGGUUAGCGCGUUCGACUGUUAUCACUCCAUUCAAUUUCGUCGGUAUUACAAACAUCGAAGCAUUUGAAAGAAGUGCAAUCGAGAGGUUGACAGUUCAAUCCUGUCUGGGGAAG